UUUUGGAAGCUUAAGUAAUCAGUCUUUGGCAGCAGCUCGAAUUUGGAGAGAGAGCAUUUAUGAGGUGCCUCCUAAGAGCACUGACCCAGGAGCCAUGGGCAAAAUAAAUAAAAUGGACAAUGAUCCCCAAGGAGAAAGCAGAGCACACUUGUAAUCGUUAGGAAAUAAGGUUCCAAUCAUGAUUUUUAAAAUAUGGAUAAAAGGGUAGAAACAAAGGGAUCAAAGAAGGCUAGAUUCAUCAGUUUUUGGUUUUGUUUUUGAGGAAGCAGGCUUUGAAAGGUGGCCAAAUCUAGUGAAGAGAAGAGCAAAAAGCACUUUGGAAACUGGAGAAAGUGUGACAUUAGCGGAGGGGUGCAGGAGGAGCAUGAAUAUUUGGGGUGGAAGCAUAACACAUGUUGGUGAGGACUGUGUGGACAACAGUAGGGAAGGGUUUGUAUCCUCAUGGAUAAAAGGCCCAGACUCAGAGACCAGGCUUGAAGCUAAAGCUGCAGGUCCAACCAUGAGGAAGAGGUUGUGCAGGUGCAAAGCACACAACAUGUGGUUGUUGUCACACUCAAUUUGAAUGCAGCUGCAAUGUCCCAGAGAGGAUCUUGGGGGCCUAGAGGUGGGGAAAUGCUUCUUAUACAAAACAUUAGAAGUGCAAAGCAUAAGGGAAAAGCUUAAUGAAUCUGAACACAUCCCACUCAAAGGGUUCUAUUCAAAGAAGAACAAGGUUAUGAGACAGAUGACAGAUUGGGAGGAGACACUUGCAAUGUCAAAAAUAACUAGGAAACAGUAUCUAAAAUAUGCAAGAACAGUGCAAAUCAACAAAAAUGAUGGAAACCCCCUCUGCUCAAAAAACAAAGGCCCAGAAGAGGCAAUUUGCAGGAGAGGAAACCCCCCCUGAGUAAUAGGCAUGUGAAGAGAUGUUCAAACUCAUUAGUAGAGAAAUACAAAUUAAAUAGCAAUGAGAUAUCACUUCUAUUCACUCAACUGGCCAAAAUCAGGAAGCUGGAUAAUGUCAAGUGGUGGCAGGGAUGUAGGAAUGUUGGAAUUCUUGGGCCUUGCUCAGGGUUUGUAGACUGGUACAGCCAAUUUGGAGAGCAAUACUUCAUCAAAUUAAAUGUACCUAUCUUCUAUUUCCCAACAAUACCACCCCUGGACAUGAAUCGUAGAAAAAUCCUUCCACACACCCUAAGGGACCAUGCAUGAAGAGACUUGCUGCAAUUCUUUCUGUGGCAGUAGGUGUCGUCCAUGGAGGUGGAGGAGCACAAGUGAAAAAGGUACACUCUGAAAUAUUUUAUCAGAGUUGGGAGGAACAGACUACAUACACACGCGGCAACAUGAAUGGAGCUUUGAAAGGAUAGUGUUGAGUCAAGAAAGUGAGAAGUGAUGAGCUAGAGGAUGUUUGUGUGCCUUCAAUGACAUGUGCCUUUAAACACUUUGUUUUUGCUAGAACACAUACUGAUAACUACAAACAUGGAACACAUUAGAAUGGUUGCCUAUGAGGGACAGGAGAAAAGAAAUGGGAAAUGGAGGCCAAUAAAAUAAAUGCCUGCCUGCAUGAAUGAAUGAGAUGGGGCUCUGAGGAGCCAAUGAUCCAGUGCAUCAUGAACUGAAGAGUGUGGUGAACCCAACCCUCUGCUUCUAAGAGCAAACUAAGCAGAACUCAAGUGCUACAUCCAUUGCCAAGGCAAUUCUAGACCUGAGUGUUAAGUAGAUGACUUAUGAGCAGUAGUAAAGAAAGUGAUACCAUGAAGAGUCUAUUAUGGGUU
Molecule: long non-coding RNA, 1754 nt
Organism: Macaca fascicularis (crab-eating macaque)
Lineage: Eukaryota; Metazoa; Chordata; Mammalia; Primates; Cercopithecidae
Source: Ensembl